This is a long non-coding RNA of Tympanuchus pallidicinctus (lesser prairie-chicken), 1667 nucleotides long. RefSeq lists it as uncharacterized. The record is from RefSeq and is a predicted model, not a curated record. Lineage: Eukaryota; Metazoa; Chordata; Aves; Galliformes; Phasianidae. The transcript has 4 exons.
AAUGACUAGGAGCGAUGUGCAGAGGAAGAUGGCAGUUGGCAGAUGGUGCGUGGCCAGAGCUGUUGUUUCUGUCCUGCAGCCGGGAAUGCUCCACGCCGAGGGGUGCGGGCUGUGAGAGGAACCUGUCUGUGGAAGCGUGGCCGUUCCUCCCGUCUGAUGGGGCAGAAGGCAGGGACAGGAGAGGAAAGCUGAACAGAUGUGCAUUUUCGUCACGGCUCUUCCUGUGUGGGAAAUGAGCUGUGCCACUGUGCUUCUUUGUGCUGGCUAGUUCUGGAGCUGUGCCUUCAACUUGAUGCUCAGCUGUUCCUGUGUGCAAUGCUCCACACUCGGACCCUGCAGAGCCCAGAGGCCUCCUUGGCUGCUGUCACUCACCUGGAGCUUGCAGGGUGCUGUGCGUGCUGGAUGUAGCUGCUUCCAGCUGUCAUUUGCAAGGCCCUGCUUUGAUCUGCAACCAAGCCUGUUGUGCUGUGGAGAGCAGUGGAAGCCGUUCAGUUGCAUGACCAAGGGGUGCAGCCUGGUUCCCCCCUCCCUAAGGGGGAGGCUCAUGGAAGGGCUGGCUGCCUGCAGGGAAGGAGCUCUGCUUUUUUGUGCGCCCUGUUGCUCAGAAUGGGCUGCCGCGCCUCUGGCCUUGGCCCCCACAGAAGCCCCUCCUGGUUGUCAGUGGCAGCUGUUAGCUGUGCAGUGCCAGCAGUCUGUGGAAACGGCAGCACUUGGGAGGAUGACACAGUUUGCCUGAUUUUAUGCUUUCUGGAUGCGGUCAGGGCAUGGGCACAGCUGACAACACACUGAUGGUGUCCUGCUGGGAAAUGGAUGCGCUGGAUGGCAGAGGAGGAUUCUGAGCCCAGUAUGGGAUCAUCUUUGUUCCUUCGUGAAGGUGAGUGUUUAAAAGUGAGACACUUGAAGCUGCAUUUGCAGGGUGCCUGGAAGGAGGUGACUCUCGCUUGAUAGCAGUUGGGUAUUUCAGAGCAGCUGAGAUUAAGGGGACGUCACAAAUCAUGUUCUGAGAAUGUUCCUGACCGUUCUGAGUUGUUCAAUUGUCUACAAGAAUGCAAGCAAUGCAAAAAAGCAAAAGCAGAACAAGCACGGCAUGUCCUGCAAAGAAUCCAGCUUUCAUAGAGACUGACAGUUCCUAACGUUCCUUUUUCUUCUUCUGUCAGUGACUGAAUUUGCUCUCACCUCUUCUCUCUGCACGUGACUUCCCACUUCUUCUAUCUUUAGUUCUUCUUGGGUUGAACUUCUCUCUUGUCUGUUUCUCCUCCUUUCUACCUUUGCAAUCCCUUCCCUCCCUUCUCUUUUCUGUCUUUUCUAACUUCUCCUCUCUGCUGCCUUCCUCCCUAUUCUUUUUUCCUGUCCUUUUCUUUCUUUUCUCUGCACCGUUAUUUCUCCUCUUCCUCCUCCUGCACUUCCUGCUCCUCUGUUCCCUCCUCUCAGUUCUCCCCUGCCUGUUCCUGCUCUUUUCCUCUUCUCCUCCUCACUCCUCUGCCCUGUUUCUGCAUUAUUUCAUCCUCCUGCAGCAGCGGCUCAUCUGCUCUGCACUUCUCUCUCUGUGCUGUCCUCUGCUCUUUGAGUAAUUCUUCCCUCUGUCCUUGCUCCUCUUCAGCUGGCUAUUAAUUCUCCACAUCAUGGCUCCUAUUGUGCUAUUUUUUCUUCUCCAUAUUCUCACUCUU